RNAcentral lists this ribosomal RNA (500 nucleotides) under uncultured bacterium. RNAcentral's name for it is "partial 16S ribosomal RNA". It matches the Rfam family "Bacterial small subunit ribosomal RNA", at positions 30 to 523 of the family's 1533-position model. The record is from RNAcentral.
AUUGAACGCUGGCGGAAUGCUUUACACAUGCAAGUCGAACGGCAGCACGGACUUCGGUCUGGUGGCGAGUGGCGAACGGGUGAGUAAUGUAUCGGAACGUGCCCAGUCGUGGGGGAUAACGUAGUGAAAAUUACGCUAAUACCGCAUACGAUCUAUGGAUGAAAGCGGGGGGUCGCAAGACCUCGCGCGAUUGGAGCGGCCGAUAUCAGAUUAGGUAGUUGGUGGGGUAAAGGCCCACCAAGCCAACGAUCUGUAGCUGGUCUGAGAGGACGACCAGCCACACUGGAACUGAGACACGGUCCAGACUCCUACGGGAGGCAGCAGUGGGGAGUUUUGGACAAUGGGCGAAAGCCAGAUCCAGCCAUUCCGCGUGCAGGAUGAAGGCCCUCGGGUUGUAAACUGCUUUUGUACAGAACGAAAAGGUUUCUACUAAUACUAGGAGCUCAUGACGGUACUGUAAGAAUAAGCACCGGCUAACUACGUGCCAGCCGCCGCAGUAA